AUGCGAAACGCCCGCGCGAGCGGGCGUCUGCCGGGCGUGGUGGUCCGGUACUGAUGAGCAGCCAAAC
RNAcentral lists this non-coding RNA (67 nucleotides) under Ralstonia solanacearum. RNAcentral also lists the same sequence under 1 other name. The record is from RNAcentral. Lineage: Bacteria; Pseudomonadati; Pseudomonadota; Betaproteobacteria; Burkholderiales; Burkholderiaceae.